RNAcentral lists this ribosomal RNA (873 nucleotides) under uncultured bacterium. Its description in RNAcentral is "bacterial SSU rRNA". It matches the Rfam family "Bacterial small subunit ribosomal RNA", at positions 8 to 890 of the family's 1533-position model. The record is from RNAcentral.
AGAGUUUGAUCCUGGCUCAGGAUGAACGCUGGCGGCGUGCCUAAUACAUGCAAGUCGAACGAGGUGCUUUUGUAGCAAUACGGAAGUAUCCUAGUGGCGAACGGGUGAGUAACGCGUUGGUGACCUACCCCAAAGUGUGGGAUAACAGUCCGAAAGGAUUGCUAAUACCGCAUGUGGUCUUCGGAUUUAGAAACUGAUGACUAAAGGAGCAAUUCGCUUUGGGAGGGACCUGCGUCCCAUCAGCUAGUUGGUGAGGUAAUGGCUCACCAAGGCUACGACGGGUAGGGGACCUGAGAGGGUGACCCCCCACAAUGGAACUGAAACACGGUCCAUACACCUACGGGUGGCAGCAGUAGGGAAUAUUGCACAAUGGGCGAAAGCCUGAUGCAGCAACGCCGCGUGUGCGAUGAAGGCCUUCGGGUCGUAAAGCACUUUUCUGAGGGAUGAGCAAGGACAGUACCUCAGGAAUAAGUCUCGGCUAACUACGUGCCAGCAGCCGCGGUAAAACGUAGGAGGCAAGCGUUAUCCGGAUUCACUGGGCGUAAAGCGCGUGCAGGCGGUUCGGUAAGUUGGGCGUGAAAUCUCCUGGCUUAACUAGGAGAGGUCGUUCAAUACUACCGGACUUGAGAGUGGUAGAGGAAGAUGGAAUUCCCGGUGUAGUGGUGAAAUGCGUAGAUAUCGGGAGGAACACCAGUGGCGAAAGCGAUCUUCUGGACCAUUUCUGACGCUCAGACGCGAAAGCUAGGGUAGUAAACGGGAUUAGAGACCCCGGUAAUCCUAGCCGUAAACGAUGUAAACUUGGCGUCGGUGGCUUAAACUCCAUCGGUGCCGCAGCUAACGCGAUAAGUUUACCGCCUGGGGACUACGAUCGCA